RNAcentral lists this ribosomal RNA (490 nucleotides) under uncultured bacterium. RNAcentral's name for it is "partial 16S ribosomal RNA". It matches the Rfam family "Bacterial small subunit ribosomal RNA", at positions 30 to 507 of the family's 1533-position model. The record is from RNAcentral.
AUUGAACGCUGGCGGCAGGCCUAACACAUGCAAGUCGAACGGUAACAGGAAGCAGCUUGCUGCUUUGCUGACGAGUGGCGGACGGGUGAGUAAUGUCUGGGAAACUGCCUGAUGGAGGGGGAUAACUACUGGAAACGGUAGCUAAUACCGCAUAACGUCGCAAGACCAAAGAGGGGGACCUUAGGGUCUCUUGCCAUCGGAUGUGCCCAGAUGGGAUUAGCUAGUAGGUGGGGUAACGGCUCACCUAGGCGACGAUCCCUAGCUGGUCUGAGAGGAUGACCAGCCACACUGGAACUGAGACACGGUCCAGACUCCUACGGGAGGCAGCAGUGGGGAAUAUUGCACAAUGGGCGCAAGCCUGAUGCAGCCAUGCCGCGUGUAUGAAGAAGGCCUUCGGGUUGUAAAGUACUUUCAGCGGGGAGGAAGGGAGUAAAGUUAAUACCUUUGCUCAUUGACGUUACCCGCAGAAGAAGCACCGGCUAACUCCGUG